Molecule: ribosomal RNA, 262 nt
Filed under: uncultured bacterium
Lineage: Bacteria
Description: partial 16S ribosomal RNA
Rfam family: Bacterial small subunit ribosomal RNA
Source: RNAcentral
GUCCAUGCUGUAAACGAUGAUUACUAGGUGUGGGGAGAUUGACCCUCUCCGUGCCGCAGUUAACACAAUAAGUAAUCCACCUGGGGAGUACGACCGCAAGGUUGAAACUCAAAGGAAUUGACGGGGGGCCCGCACAAGCAGUGGAGUAUGUGGUUUAAUUCGAAGCAACGCGAAAAACCUUACCAGGUCUUGACAUCCAACGACCGCCUAAGAGAUUAGGCUUUCCUUCGGGACGUUGAGACAGGUGGUGCAUGGUUGUCGU